This 253-nucleotide ribosomal RNA is filed under the name uncultured bacterium. RNAcentral describes it as "partial 16S ribosomal RNA". It matches the Rfam family "Bacterial small subunit ribosomal RNA", at positions 524 to 776 of the family's 1533-position model. The record is from RNAcentral.
UACGAAGGGGGCUAGCGUUGCUCGGAAUCACUGGGCGUAAAGCGCACGUAGGCGGCUUUUUAAGUCAGGGGUGAAAUCCUGGAGCUCAACUCCAGAACUGCCUUUGAUACUGAGAAGCUUGAGUCCGGGAGAGGUGAGUGGAACUGCGAGUGUAGAGGUGAAAUUCGUAGAUAUUCGCAAGAACACCAGUGGCGAAGGCGGCUCACUUGCCCGGUACUGACGCUGAGGUGCGAAAGCGUGGGGAGCAAACAGG